GAUGAACGCUAGCGGCAGGCCUAACACAUGCAAGUCGAGGGGCAGCACAGGUAGCAAUACUGGGUGGCGACCGGCGGAUGGGUGCGUAACGCGUAUGCAACCUACCAUUGAUUGGGGCAUAGCCCGAAGAAAUUCGGAUUAAUACUCCAUAAUAUUCAUCAAAGGCAUCUUUUAUGAAUUAAAGCUUUUGCGAUCAAUGAUGGGCAUGCGUGACAUUAGUUAGUUGGUGAGGUAACGGCUCACCAAAACGAUGAUGUCUAGGGGUUCUGAGAGGAUUAUCCCCCACACUGGUACUGAGACACGGACCAGACUCCUACGGGAGGCAGCAGUGAGGAAUAUUGGUCAAUGGACGCAAGUCUGAGCCAGCCAUGCCGCGUGCAGGAUGACGGCCCUAUGGGUUGUAAACUGCUUUUCCACGGGAAGAACCCGUCCGACGUGUCGGAGACUGACGGUACCGUGGGAAUAAGCAUCGGCUAACUCCGUGCCG
RNAcentral lists this ribosomal RNA (487 nucleotides) under uncultured bacterium. Its description in RNAcentral is "bacterial SSU rRNA". It matches the Rfam family "Bacterial small subunit ribosomal RNA", at positions 28 to 510 of the family's 1533-position model. The record is from RNAcentral.